Molecule: unclassified non-coding RNA, 260 nt
Filed under: Hevea brasiliensis (rubber tree)
Lineage: Eukaryota; Viridiplantae; Streptophyta; Magnoliopsida; Malpighiales; Euphorbiaceae
Source: RNAcentral
AAACUUAAUGCAAGGUAUGUCAGAUUCUAGGUGUUUACAAUUAUCCCCUUGAAGAUCAUUUGAUUUCAAUUUGAACCUAUCAAUGUUUGAUCUAAAUAGAAUUGGGAUGUGAACAUAAGAGAGAAGGUUGGUUUUGAUUGACGUUACAAAUUUAGGUCAGGCAGGCACCAAAGUAGCAGUCAUGUAUUCAGUAUGUUCUGUUGAUUAGCUUCCAUGUUGUAGAUUUUUAAUGAAAUGAUAGUGCUGCAUGGCAGCAAUAU